Molecule: ribosomal RNA, 228 nt
Filed under: uncultured eukaryote
Lineage: Eukaryota
Description: partial 18S ribosomal RNA
Rfam family: Eukaryotic small subunit ribosomal RNA
Source: RNAcentral
GGAAAUCUCACCAGGCCCGGACACUGGAAGGAUUGACAGAUUGAUAGCUCUUUCUUGAUUCGGUAGGUGGUGGUGCAUGGUUGUUCUUAGUUGGUUGAGUGAUUUGUCUGGUUAAUUCCGUUAACGAACGAGACCUUAACCUGCUAAAUAGUGACGCGGUUCAUCGAACCGUGGGCCACUUCUUAGAGGGACUAUCGGAUUCAAACCGAUGGAAGUGUGAGGCAAUAA